GGAGAGGUAUCGAAGCGGUCAUAACGAGGCGGUCUUGAAAACCGUUUGGGCGCAAGCCCACGUGGGUUCGAAUCCCACCCUCUCCGCCA
This 89-nucleotide transfer RNA is filed under the name Clostridiales bacterium. RNAcentral's name for it is "tRNA-Ser". It matches the Rfam family "tRNA". From Rfam's summary of the family: Transfer RNA (tRNA) molecules are approximately 80 nucleotides in length. Their secondary structure includes four short double-helical elements and three loops (D, anti-codon, and T loops). The record is from RNAcentral. Lineage: Bacteria; Bacillati; Bacillota; Clostridia; Eubacteriales.